CUACGUGCCAGCAGCCGCGGUAAUACGUAGGGUGCGAGCGUUAAUCGGAAUUACUGGGCGUAAAGCGAGCGCAGACGGUUACUUAAGCAGGAUGUGAAAUCCCCGGGCUCAACCUGGGAACUGCGUUCUGAACUGGGUGACUAGAGUGUGUCAGAGGGAGGUAGAAUUCCACGUGUAGCAGUGAAAUGCGUAGAGAUGUGGAGGAAUACCGAUGGCGAAGGCAGCCUCCUGGGAUAACACUGACGUUCAUGCUCGAAAGCGUGGGUAGCAAACAGGAUUAGAUACCCUGGUAGUCCACGCCCUAAACGAUGUCAAUUAGCUGUUGGGCAACUUGAUUGCUUAGUAGCGUAGCUAACGCGUGAAAUUGACCGCCUGGGGAGUACGGUCGCAAGAUUAAAACUCAAAUGAAUUGACGGGGACCCGCACAAGCGGUGGAUGAUGUGGAUUAAUUCGAUGCAACGCGAAGAACCUUACCUGGUCUUGACAU
RNAcentral lists this ribosomal RNA (487 nucleotides) under uncultured bacterium. RNAcentral's name for it is "bacterial SSU rRNA". It matches the Rfam family "Bacterial small subunit ribosomal RNA", at positions 501 to 987 of the family's 1533-position model. The record is from RNAcentral.